Molecule: long non-coding RNA, 2007 nt
Filed under: Anas platyrhynchos (mallard)
Lineage: Eukaryota; Metazoa; Chordata; Aves; Anseriformes; Anatidae
Description: lncRNA (ENSAPLG00020002498.1)
Source: RNAcentral
GCCGCCCUGGCCACGCCCCCUGCUGGCUGACCACGCCCCCCGCCGGUCGCCAUGGCAGCAGCGGUGCGCUUCGUGGUGACGCCCAGCCGGGGGGGGGACGCGUCCGAGAGCAGCCCCGAGCCCCCCUCGGCCUCCAGCUCCCGCCCCCCCCCCUCCGACAGCAGCCCCAGCCCCAGCGAGACCUCGGCCCCCCCCCGCGCCGAGCGUGGUACGGCCCGCUGGGGGGGGCGGGGCUUUGAGGGGGGGGCGUGGCCUCGCUCAUCGCCCGCCGCGGCGCCCCCCUCCCCUAGGCCACGCCCCCCCGCCGCCUGGCCACGCCCCCUCCGGAGGCCACGCCCCCUGCGACCUGGCCCUGUUUGAGGUGAGCGGCCCCUCCCCUCCCUAAAAUGGGCCUGGGGGGGGGGGGCGGCCCCAAAAUCGGGGGUUCUGAGCCCGAAACGGGAGGGUCUGGCCCCAAAAUACCCCAGGGACCUGUAAGAACCCUUGGCCCUAUAGGGUGGCCUGACCCUGGAAGGGUUCCUGACCCUAAAACAGCCCCAUGACCCUAAAACAGACCCUGACCCUAAAACAGCCUCUGACCCUAAAACAGCCCCAUGACCCUAUAAGAGCCCUUGACCCUAAAAGAGCUCCUGACCCCAUAACCCCCCGUGACCCCAUAACCCCCCCAUGACCCCAUAACCCCCCCGUGACCCCGUAACCCCCCCGUGACCCCGUACCCGCCCCCAUAACCUUAUGGGGUCGCAGGAGGAGCUGGCGUCCCGGCCCCGCGUCCCGGCCCUAUUGCGCCGCAUCGCCGCCUACAGCAGCCUGGGGCCCGACAGCGAGCUGGGGCCCGGCCCCGUGAGUGACCCCAAAACCGGCCCUAUAAGGGGGGGGGGCCCUAAAAAGGGAGACCCUAUAAAGGGGGGACCCUAAAUGGGAGACCCUAUAAGAGGCCCUAUAAGGGGAGACCCCAAAAGGGACCCUAAAAGGGGAGGGACCCCAAACCCUAUAAGGGGUUUUUGGGGUCCCUUUGGGGAUUUUGGGGUCCUUUUGGGGUUAUUUGGGGUUUUUGGGGUCCCUUUGGGUUCCUUUUAGGGUUUUGGGGUUUUGGGUUCCUUUUGGGGUUUUGGUGUCCCUUUGGGGUUUUUGGGGUCCCUGUGGGUUUUUUGGGGGUUAUUUGGGGUCCCUUUUGGGUUAUUUGGGAUUCUGGGGUCCCUUUGGGGUUAUUUGGGGUUAUUUGGGGUUUUGGGUUUUUGGGAUCCUUUUGGGAUUUUUGUUCUUUCGGGGCCUUCCUUUUAGGGUUUUGUCUUUUUUGGGGCCCCGUCGGUUUCUUUCCGAGUCCCCUUCAAUUUUUUUAAUUUGUGGGGGUUCCCUUUGGGUUUUUUUGGGGGGUUUUUGGGUGACGGGGCUGUUUUGGGGUCGCAGCGGCGGGCGCUGGGCACGCUGUGUGGGGUGGCGGCGCCCUCGCUGCAGACGCUGCUGGGGCUGCUGCUGGUGCUGCGCCUGCCCUGGGCUGUGGGGUCGGGCGGCGUCCUGCAGGUCUGCGGGGUCGGCGUGCUGCUGGGCGCCUGCGCCGUGCUCACCGCCCUGUCCCUCAGCGCCAUCGCCACCAACGGGGGCACCCCCGGUGAGCGGGGUGGGGUUUGGGGGAAAUUCGGGGGAUUUGGGGAAAUUUGGGGGGUCUGGGGGGGGAUUUCGGGGGGAUUUGGGGUGGAUUUGGGGGAUUUGGGGAGUUAUUGGGGGAUUUGGGGUCGGGUUUUGGGGCUGUUUGUGGGGGAUUUGUUUUUUUUAGGGUGGUUAUUGGGGUACUGGGGGGGAUUUGUGGGGGUUUGGGGUGGUUUUGGGGGUUAUUUAUGGGGUUUUGGGGUAUCUUGGUGGGGUUUUGGGCUAUUUUUAUGUUUUCUUGGGGUAUCUCUGUGGGGUUUCUGCCCCCCUGGGCUUCCCUUCUGCUGCUGACGCGGUGCCGCAGGGGGGGGCCCCCUGGCGCUGCUGUGGGGGGCGCUGGGCCCCGAGGCGGGGGGCGCG